RNAcentral lists this ribosomal RNA (214 nucleotides) under uncultured bacterium. RNAcentral describes it as "partial 16S ribosomal RNA". It matches the Rfam family "Bacterial small subunit ribosomal RNA", at positions 122 to 334 of the family's 1533-position model. The record is from RNAcentral.
CAACCUGCCGUCUACUCUUGGCCAGCCUUCUGAAAGGAAGAUUAAUCCAGGAUGGCAUCAUGAGUUCACAUGUCCGCAUGAUUAAAGGUAUUUUCCGGUAGACGAUGGGGAUGCGUUCCAUUAGAUAGUAGGCGGGGUAACGGCCCACCUAGUCAACGAUGGAUAGGGGUUCUGAGAGGAAGGUCCCCCACAUUGGAACUGAGACACGGUCCAA